GACGAACGCUGGCGGCGUGCUUAACACAUGCAAGUCGAACGGAAAGGCCCUGCUUUUGUGGGGUGCUCGAGUGGCGAACGGGUGAGUAACACGUGAGUAACCUGCCCUUGACUUUGGGAUAACUCCAGGACACGGGGGCGGAUACAGGAUAUGAGCUCCUGCUGCGUGGGGGGGGUUGGAAAGAUUCGGCGGUUGGGGAUGGACUCGCGGCUGCUCAGCUUGUUGGUGGGGUAGUGGCUUACCAAGGCUUUGACGGGUAGCCGGCCUGAGAGGGUGACCGGCCACAUUGGGACUGAGAUACGGCCCAGACUCCUACGGGAGGCAGCAGUGGGGAAUAUUGCACAAUGGGCGGAAGCCUGACGCAGCAACGCCGCGUGCGGGAUGACGGCCUUCGGGUUGUAAACCGCUUUCGCCUGUGACGAAGCGUGAGUGACGGUAAUGGGUAAAGAAGCACCGGCUAACUACGUG
Molecule: ribosomal RNA, 468 nt
Filed under: uncultured bacterium
Lineage: Bacteria
Description: partial 16S ribosomal RNA
Rfam family: Bacterial small subunit ribosomal RNA
Source: RNAcentral